CCUACACAUGCAAGUCGAACGGCAGCAUAAGAGAGCUUGCUCUCUUGAUGGCGAGUGGCGGACGGGUGAGUAAUGUAUAGGGAUCUGCCCAGUAGUGGGGGACAACAGCCGGAAACGGCUGCUAAUACCGCAUACGCUCUACGGAGGAAAGCGGGGGACCUUUCGGGGCCUCGCGCUAUUGGAUGAACCUAUAUCAGAUUAGCUAGUUGGUGGGGUAAUGGCCUACCAAGGCAACGAUCUGUAGCUGAUCUGAGAGGAUGAUCAGCCACACUGGGACUGAGACACGGCCCAGACUCCUACGGGAGGCAGCAGUGGGGAAUAUUGGACAAUGGGGGAAACCCUGAUCCAGCAAUGCCGCGUGUGUGAAGAAGGCCUUCGGGUUGUAAAGCACUUUCAAUAGGGAGGAAAAGCUGUGCGUUAAUAGCGUAUAGCCGUGACGUUACCUAUAGAAGAAGCACCGGCUAACUCCGUGCCAGCAGCCGCGGUAAUACGGAGGGUGCAAGCGUUAAUCGGAAUUACUGGGCGUAAAGCGCGCGUAGGCGGUUUGCUAAGUCAGAUGUGAAAUCCCCGGGCUCAACCUGGGAAUGGCAUUUGAGACUGGUAGGCUAGAAUGUGGUAGAGGUGAGUGGAAUUCCAGGUGUAGCGGUGAAAUGCGUAGAGAUCUGGAGGAACAUCAGUGGCGAAGGCGACUCACUGGGCCAUUAUUGACGCUGAGGUGCGAAAGCGUGGGUAGCAAACAGGAUUAGAUACCCUGGUAGUCCACGCCCUAAACGAUGUCAACUAGGUGUAUGGAGAAUUUAUUCUUUGUGUAUCGAAGCUAACGCGAUAAGUUGACCGCCUGGGGAGUACGGUCGCAAGACUAAAACUCAAAUGAAUUGACGGGGGCCCGCACAAGCGGUGGAGCAUG
RNAcentral lists this ribosomal RNA (907 nucleotides) under uncultured Methylophaga sp. RNAcentral's name for it is "bacterial SSU rRNA". It matches the Rfam family "Bacterial small subunit ribosomal RNA", at positions 48 to 941 of the family's 1533-position model. The record is from RNAcentral. Lineage: Bacteria; Pseudomonadati; Pseudomonadota; Gammaproteobacteria; Thiotrichales; Piscirickettsiaceae.